UUUUAAAAAUUUUUUUUUACUCACAUUACGAACGGCGUGUCUUCUGUGUUUUUCUGAUUUUUUUCCGGCUGCAUGUCUAACACCAAAAAUUGAAAGAAUUGAUUUGAAGACGCGUCAACUUCACCAAAUCUCUGCUAAGACACGAAUGAAGAAAUUAUAUAUGAAAGGCCUGGUUACAUAUGAGAAGAGUACGCUGAGAGCAAGAAAUAUUAGAGUUAUCAUCACGUUUACAACAACAAACCCAUGCGAAUGGAUAAAUGAUUGUUCUGAUAAGAAAGUCGGCAACAAUCUUGUAUUCCAUAAGAACAGAAGAAACAGAAUAACUGUGGUGAAAUGUGCAAAACGGAUUAUAAUCAAAAACAGAAGAUUACAUAUAUACAAACACCAUGCAAUGGGCCCUUAUCUGAAAGUUUGAUGAUGAUUACAAAAGUUUGAUAUGGUGAAAAACAAGAGCUAUUCUUCAGUUUUAAACUUAUCCGAAAAAUAUAAAUGAAGAACAAUUAAAACUUGCUGAAGAGCUUGAAACGUACAGUAUUCGGAUGUCAUUCCAGCAGGUCCAUUGGAAUAGAAUACAUUUUCCGACCGAACUUUAUUUUACAGUGUUUUGAGAGAGAGAUAGUGUGCUCAAUAUCAUAAAAUAUUAGAAAUUUGAUCGAAACUCUCCCACACUAAUAUCCAUCAAACUCAGUUUUAAACUAUAGAUUUAACUGAAAACGAUGAUCGUAUAACACUUGUAUUAUAAUGUUAUAUUGGGAAUGCAACUAUUAUAAACAUAUAUUUUAGUAAUACUAGGCAAUAUUAUUAUAAUUAUAAAAAAAGAAAUUCAAAUCAAAGGAAAUCGAUUUAU
Molecule: long non-coding RNA, 847 nt
Organism: Teleopsis dalmanni
Lineage: Eukaryota; Metazoa; Arthropoda; Insecta; Diptera; Diopsidae
Exons: 4
Source: RefSeq, a predicted model, not a curated record